Molecule: ribosomal RNA, 467 nt
Filed under: uncultured bacterium
Lineage: Bacteria
Description: partial 16S ribosomal RNA
Rfam family: Bacterial small subunit ribosomal RNA
Source: RNAcentral
GACGAACGCUGGCGGCGUGCUUAACACAUGCAAGUCGAACGGAAAGGCCCUGCUUUUGUGGGGUGCUCGAGUGGCGAACGGGUGAGUAACACGUGAGUAACCUGCCCUUGACUUUGGGAUAACUUCAGGAAACUGGGGCUAAUACCGGAUAGGAGCUCCUGCUGCAUGGUGGGGGUUGGAAAGUUUCGGCGGUUGGGGAUGGACUCGCGGCUUAUCAGCUUGUUGGUGGGGUAGUGGCUUACCAAGGCUUUGACGGGUAGCCGGCCUGAGAGGGUGACCGGCCACAGUGGGACUGGGGUACGGCCCAGACUCCUACGGGAGGCAGCAGUGGAGGAUAUUGCACAAUGGGCGGAAGGCUGAUGCAGCAACGCCGCGUGCGGGAUGACGGCCUUCGGGUUGUAAACCGCGUUCGCCUGUGACGAAGCGUGAGUGACGGUAAUGGGUAAAGAAGCACCGGCUAACUACGU